This is a long non-coding RNA of Bubalus bubalis (water buffalo), 400 nucleotides long. RefSeq lists it as uncharacterized. NCBI's taxonomy places the organism in Eukaryota, Metazoa, Chordata, Mammalia, Artiodactyla, Bovidae. The record is from RefSeq and is a predicted model, not a curated record. The transcript is spliced from 2 exons.
GAGAAGGAAAUGGCAACCCACUCCAGUGUUCUUGCCCGGAGAAUCCCAGGGACAGGGGAGCCUGGUGGGUCGCCGUCUCUGGGGUCGCACAGAGUCGGACACGACUGAAGCGACUUAGCAGCAGGCCUAACCAUUUCCCUGCAGCUGGAAGUUUUGAAUGUUUUUAAUAUAUAUAUUUUAUUCUUAAUGUUCAGUGGGAAAUGAUGUUUGUAAUAAUUACAAAAAAUGAGACAGUCUGCUUUGCACUGGACAAUGAUAAUAUGACAGUUGCAGAAUCUAUUGUGGAGCACUAUGGAAGAAAAACUUCAAAGACCAAUUUCCUCUCUGAGCUGCGUCUCUUGAUUAGAUUGUAUUAGCUAAUAACAUUUGGAUGUCUUGAAUAAACUACUUUUAGAAUCCA